Long non-coding RNA from Pseudomyrmex gracilis, 545 nucleotides. RefSeq lists it as uncharacterized. The record is from RefSeq and is a predicted model, not a curated record. NCBI's taxonomy places the organism in Eukaryota, Metazoa, Arthropoda, Insecta, Hymenoptera, Formicidae. The transcript is spliced from 2 exons.
UAAACAACUUGGAUAACACAAUGCUUUUUUACAAUGAGGUGGUCCUAGAUAGCCGUCUGGACACGGACCAGAAUUAGGCUCUGCAAAAAAGAGAGAACAGACAUACAUACACUGAUAAAAGGGAUAUUUUCAUUACAAAGGAAAAGCUUUACAAAAGCAGUUUGCAUCUUGUAAACGACAAUGGAUCUGUCACAUGUAAGUAUAUUAAAGAUUUUUGCAGAAAAUGCGAGCUAAAAACUAAUUAAUUUUUUUUUUUUUUUUCACGCAGCAUUUCAAAGGCUGAAAAACUAAGAAUGUCUUCACAAUGGUCCUCCUCAAACCACAAAGCAGCUUCUUAACGACUUAACAUCCGUGAACUUCCAAACAUCCCACGAAACAGCGAUUCGACACGCCAUCACAUGAUUUAUCGGACCCUUCGCUUUGUCGAAUAAUCUUUUUUGCUUUGCCAGGGUCUUUCCUUACAAAAUAUCAAAAUGAGUUCUCACGACGGGUACAUGCCAUGACUGUCGAUUAAAUAAAAAAUUUAAAAAAAAAAAAAAAAAAAA